Long non-coding RNA from Brassica napus (rape), 1939 nucleotides. RefSeq lists it as uncharacterized. Lineage: Eukaryota; Viridiplantae; Streptophyta; Magnoliopsida; Brassicales; Brassicaceae. The transcript has 3 exons. The record is from RefSeq and is a predicted model, not a curated record.
GAUUCGAUCCUAAAGUGCUACAUCGACAUACCAUUCGAUUGUGGUAGUGUGCACAUUAGGUUAUUUGGUGUGCGUAUACACGUAAUAUCAGUUACCCUGUGCGUCAAAUAAUUAAGGAUCUUGUUUUGGAGUUUGGGAAAGUUAGUGUUAUUCCUUUCCUGAUGCGUUUCAUGCAAGUAUUCUUUGAGAUUGUUUAGAUCACCCGCAACGGGGGAUGAAGAGGAAUCCUUAGCUCUUAAUCCUAGGGGAUUAAUAAUAUAAUAACAAUAUAAACACUUAGUUACCUAAGGAUUGAUCCCUAAAUAAAGAUUUUAAGGAUCAAAUCCUUAUAGACAUGGCAGCUUGGCAUUGACUCUUCUUCUUGUACAACAACGAAUCCAGAUUCUGUAAUGGAGAGAAGGAGCAGCCAUGGGAGAAGAAGAAGGAAACAAAGGAACUGCUGCUUCAUCAUCUUCGAGAUCUCCGCCGCAACACCACAGAGAAGGUGAAGUCGUUAGCUUCGCCGCCGUGCCUCUGCCUAACUCCGGACCCGCGUCAACCAUCUUCCGCCUUUUAUGCUCACGGUGGAAUCAAAUCCAAUAGCCUAUCGUUCUCCUCAUCUGCAUCAGGUUUCGUGUCACUACCACUCGCUGUAGAGAAGUAGCUACGCUCGUCGUUCGUACAGACGGAAGCUGUUCGACAUGUUACUGGGUCGCUUAUCAGACUUUGUUAAGUUUACUUUGUCUGCCUCGUUAAAAAGCCAUCAAGGAAAGGCAAGGGAAACCAUAAUGAACCAGAGAAAAAACUGGAAGCUUGUUCCUAUUAAUGAAAAUGCACAAAGGAAGAGGAAGCCAUAUCCUGCAGGUGAGAUGUCAUACUUUGAAUGUUGAGUAUUGUCUCUUUUGUGGGUGUGAUUUGUGGAGGUACUCUUACUUGUUUUAUCUCCAUCUUAGUUAGUUAUUUCAAAUUUCAUAUCAGACUCUCAACUAUUUGAGUCUCUGGUUUUACUUUCUAGAGUAAUUUGAAAACCUUUGCUGGUAUGAAGAGGGUGUGGCUUUCCCGAAAUUUUUCUUAUAUAUAUGAAGCCUUUUCUAACACCAACUUAGCCUUUUUCAUUCAGUCACUAUAUGUUCAUACUAUUGGUACGUUUAUAGGUCUAUCUCUGAUAUAACUAAAGUUCUCUACUUUAAGCAUUCAUUAGUCUUCUCAAAGUCUCAACAUUGAGGAUGUCAAGAAUCAGAAAAUUCAAGAGUUGUGUUUUAUUUCUAAGAACUCCAAAUUAGAGAACACCAUUGGAGAUAGAAUUUUGAUUAGGAUCCUUAACUAUUCAAAAAAAAAAAAUUAGUUUAAUAAUGCUAAGGAUUCCAAUGGUGGUAACACCAUUGGAGAUGCUCUUAUUAGCUAAGUAAUCAAGUCCAAAAGGUUGGGAUAUUUUUAUACAUGUAAAUGCGCAUCUAUAUAUAUAUGUGUAUGUUUAUAUAACUAGAUAUAUAAAUUAUUAAGGAGAGACCGCGUUGAACUUGAAGUUCGAAUACGAAUUUAUUCUAGUUUUUUCUCGUCCUAAAUUAUUUAUUGGACUUACGUCUUAAUGGUUUUAAAUUUAUAAGAAACUACGUAUACGUCUCUUUGUUGUAAGCUCGAAAGGGAAAGUCCAUGCUCUUAGUUUUGGUAUUUUCCUUCGUAAUUUUCUGCUUCAUUCAUUUUUUGAAAUACAAAAAGCUUUUAUAUAUACGUCUUCUCGUUGGCAGAAAGAUUUAACCAAAUUUAUUUAUUUUAGUGUUUUCUGCCUUCUGUUAUUAUCUUAUGAUUUGCUAUCACAUUCGAACGUUAAAAAAUGUGUAUGAUGGGUACAUUGGAUGAUUUAAGGAAUUUAAAAUAACUUUGAUUCAUAGUUGUGAGUUCGUGUCCAUUACGUUGCGUUUUCAUGCAAUAUAUUAUUUCCUUGACGGUUGAUAUAGCU